Molecule: long non-coding RNA, 229 nt
Filed under: Elaeis guineensis (African oil palm)
Lineage: Eukaryota; Viridiplantae; Streptophyta; Magnoliopsida; Arecales; Arecaceae
Description: long non-coding RNA (EGUI_LNC055546)
Source: RNAcentral
CUGGCCAAGGUUUUGCUAAAUUGAAAUACAGCGACUCAUUCUUCUCCAACUCUUGGAGUGGUCAAUCCCAUCUUGAUCACACUCUGACUUCGCAAGUACUUGACUGUGCCCAGAACCCUUCUAUCACUGAAUUAAAAAUUCAGUUAGUCCAGUACCAAAGCACAGUGAGUUGCUUGCAAGUCACUGAGGCGAUCUCAAGUCUAAGGGACACUUAUACCUAUAUCCCAUC